GAUGGGUGCUGGUGAGGAAGCCAGUCGCAUAAGUAACGAGUGCAAAUAAAGCUGUAGAGGGGGCAUUGCCUCGUGUUAUGAAAGUAUCUUGCAAUAGGCGAUGGGGUAAGAAGUCCAAAGAGGAGGGUGACACAUUGGCAGGCUGUCUGGAACAAGCCGAGUCAAAGUCUGCCUGUGCGACUACAGCUCUGUCCAUUCUAAUUCCAAAUGUUCCAUCCUGGUUCUCCAGGCAAAAAGCCUUCAGAUAAGGAAAAGGGCCUGAUGGAGAUGCCACCUGGGGAUGGUCCAAGCACCAAACAAGCAAAAGAAAUGAUUGCUGUCAACGUAGGAAGGCCAAUGAUAGGAGGUUUUCAUUAAGGUUAUAAUCACCACCACCACUGCUUUUAUUCCCUCAGUCAUGUGUCUCUCCAGGAAAUAUUUAUAGAGAGCCUACCACGCUCCACGCCCUAUGCUAAAUGCUAGGACCCUGAAAGAGGUCCCCUGGGGCUCCAGGGUAGAAAUGGCAGGCUCUUGCAACACAAUUAGAAAAAAGCUCUGCUGUUAGAGAGAGGCUGUCACGUGCUGCCACAUAGUCCUCCCUGCAUGGAGGUGAUUGUGCCCUUGGGAGCCAGGAAAUGCCUCCAACAACAGGCGAGCUGGAUAGGCCCUUUGAGAGGUAGUCCAGCUCCCUCACUGUACAGAGAAGGAAGCCAUGGACCUGAAGUAUAGAAAAGAUAAACUGCAAAUCAAGACUACACGUGAUCAUGGUGCGGCUGUUCCCUGCAGAAAAGAACCAUCCUCUAUGGUGGCCUUGGUCAUUGCUGUGUGUGGCCAGCUGGAGCCAGGGUGACCCACAACCCUGGGAAGCAAAGGGAGAAAAUGAAGGCGCAGAGAAGGGUGGUAGGUUCCCGAAGGUCAGACAACAAGUCCACGGCAAAGCCAGAUAAAGAAAAUAGUUCUACUUUUCAAUUAAGAUCCUGAUCUGAAGUUAUCCAGGAGGCCAAGAAAUGCAUUAUCUUUCUUCCCUUCUGUCCCAGCUCGGCAGAUCUCUUUCUUGGCUUCUUGAUUAUUGGACAGAGUGAAUGUUUUCCUACCCUGUCUUUUCUGGAACUGAGCGUGGUCUGUUAGCAAUAAACCAGACUCUCCUCACUCUCCGGAACUCCA
This 1143-nucleotide long non-coding RNA is filed under the name Sus scrofa (pig). RNAcentral's name for it is "lncRNA (ENSSSCG00070014213.1)". Lineage: Eukaryota; Metazoa; Chordata; Mammalia; Artiodactyla; Suidae. The record is from RNAcentral.